UUUUUUCUUGAUUUUCCAUAAACCAACCUAGGCAUCUUUUACAAUUGAUAACAUGUUUUCUGUGUUUCCCAUUCACUUCCAUAUUCACAAGAGUGUAACCAUACCUAUCUCUAGGGAAAAGGUACAACAGAUUUUCAAAAAGCAUGAUGCUAAUGGUGAUGGUAGUCUAAGCUUGGAGGAGCUUGCAACAGCCUAUGGAGAACUAGGUUCAAUUAUCCCCAAUCUGAGAGCUCAUCUUUCACUCUUCCAUGCAGAUACUAAUGGGGACGGAAAAAUCAACUCCGAGGAGAUGGAAUCUCUCAUCAAUUAUGCUAUGUCUCUAGGAUAUCGCAUUAAGUAAAAUAGAAUCUACUUAUGUGCUUAUAAUAAAGGGCAUGUCAUUAUGUCAUGUCCCUAUUUUAUAUAUAAAUAAUGCAUGUAGUUUUCUUAUUUGGUGACCAAGGAAACAAAAAGGACAAGUUCUUUUGUUGUGUUUCCUUUUUAUAUGUGUAACUUAAAACUUUAUAAUUAUCUAUCUUUUAUGUAACUUAGUUUUUUUUUUCUUUCUUUUUUUUUACUCUUUUCCACCAAUUAUAAGGUAGUAUGAAUUUCAAAAUGACCAUAAAUGUGAGACUUGUAUGCAAGUGUAGUGUCACCUAUACACGAGAUAGUGCUUCUCCUAGUGAUAGGUUAGGAGAGAAAUGAAAUGCUUAGUGCUACUUAGUAAAUUAUGUAGAUUAAUUUGCAAAGACAAGAGUCAUGUCUAAAUUAAAGUAGAUUGAAAGUCUUCAAAGUAAGAGAAUGUUUUAGAAAGAAAUUAAAUAGAAAGUAUAAAUUGAUAAAAAAAAAAUUCAACAAUUAUUUCUAAAAUCCUCAUGGAGUUUGAUGUAUAGAACAAAACAAAAAAAAAAAUUAUAUACCACAUGCAGCUCAAUGAUUUUCAACAUUUACAAAUAUCUCAAAAACUUAAAAAAAAAAAAAAUAGUUGUUUGGAUUAUUAUGGAAAAUAUAUGUUUAAUUCUCAAAAAAUUGUUUUAUUAAUAUAUUUUUUUACUAAAUAAUGAUUAGAAAUCAUUAAACGUGGUCAUAUUUAUUAAAUAUAAAAAAUUAUUGGCACCAUAUGUUGGCGACCCAUCUAAUAUGAAUUUUAAUAAUAAUAAUACACUAUCUUCUUCUUUUACAUUUAGGAAAAAUUUAAGAAGCCUCUCAUAAUUAAUCAUUGAUGACAUCUCCAAAAGUGGGGGACUUGUCUUACAUCAUGCAUGUGGAAAAAUAAUGCUCUUAGCCAUGUUAAAUGAAAAAAGAUGAGGCAAAUGCUUCCACUUCCAUCGUCCUACUUUGGGCUUUAAUUCGAGUUCAAUUCAAUUCUUUUCUGGAUUGAUUGAUUUUUUUGUGAAAAAUAUUAAUAAUUGCAAGGAUGUUUUAAUUGUUGAGAUUUUUAUUAAGUUUUGUUGAGUAAAAAUAUUCAGCAUAAAAUUAAAAUUUAUAGAUAUUUCUUUUAUACUUUAGUUUUUAUGGUGUUAGGUAUAACUUUUAAUAAUGGACCAUAUCCUAUUUCUAAACCAACUUGUAGUGUCAUGGUCAGUUCUAAUUCGUACCAAGCUUUUUGGCAUAUUCAUUGGAUAUCUUUUGUUCACAACAUAAACAAAUUCAGAAACACGUUUGUCUACUAUGAUAAGAAAACUAGUGGUUGAUUUGAUCAAUUGGCUAAAAAGGAGCCCCAGUAAGAUCUACAAGUGAUAUGCGGCUUGGAAUUAUGGAAUUCUCUUUUUUAAAAAGUGAUGGAGCAUAUUAAAUGCUAUUAUAAAUGACCUACUAAACAGUUAAAUAUAAAAUAUUAUUUGGCAUCAUAUGUUGGUGACCCAUGUAAUAUGAAUUUUAAUGAAUUCAUCCAAGGAAAUAAUACUAUUAUAUCUUUAUCUUGCUAGAAAUUUUCAACAAUUAUUUGUGAAAUCCUUAUAGUGUUUGAUGUGUAGAACACAAAAUUCAUACUCCACAUACAACUCAAUAUUAGUAAAAAUAUAUAUAUUUUUUUAAUUAUUAUGGGAAAUAUAUGUUUAAUUUUCAAAAUAUAAUUUUUUUUUUAGAUUUUUUUUUUAAUAAUCUUUUAACUAACUUGUAGAUUUGAAAUUAUCCCAUUCUACUAAAUAUUCCUAUAUUUUAGAAUAAGAAAAUAUAGAGAAGUUUAUUUCCGUAUGAAAAUAACUCUUUAAUGCUUUUAAAUAUGUUUUAAAAAUAACUUCUAUAUUUAAUAGUUUAUUUUUAAUCAUUCUCUAUAUUUGUAUAAUUAUUUUUUUAAAAUAGCUUUUAUAAAACAAGUGAAAAUAAUUAAAAAUAAAAAAAUGUUGUUUGAAAAGAUGAUGUUUUUUGUUUUUAAAAAUAGAAAACAAAAAACAGUUUUUUGGUUAUCAAAUAUAUUUUCUUAUUUCUUUUUGUUAUGAAGAGCAUAAAAUUGUUUUUAACAAUAAUUAGCAAACAUUGUUAGUUUACUCAUCAUGAAAAGCUAAUACUAUAUGCUUGAUUUGACCAAUCACCUAAUAAUGUGUUUGAUAGUGUUUAUAUUCAAAGUAUUUUUAGUGAUUUUUUUUUUUUCUAAAUGCAUGUUUUUUAGAAUAAUUACUUGUCAAGUGUUAUGAAAUACUAGAAGUAAUUUUUGAAAAUUUUAAAAUCUUGCAUGUCUUAAUUUUUCUUAAAAAUAUUUUUUAUGCUAUAAAUAUUUUCUAAAAAUACUAUCAAACAGUAUUUCAAUUCGAAGUGCUUUUGAGAAAAGUGAUUUCCCUAAAAGUAUUAUUGAGUGAAUCACUUCUCUCCAAAAUUCACCAUAAAUAUUUUUUAAUAUUUUAAAAAUAUUUUUUAAAAUUUACGAAAUAUUCAAAAAAAAAUUUCAAGAACAUUUUUUAUACCAUAAAUAAUUUCUAAAAACACCAUCAAAGAUAAUUUUAAAGGCUAAAAAGCAGGUCUUUACUCUCAUGGAUGACCUUCGCAUCAUCAAAUUUGAAAUUUAUAAAGGCGAUGGUGUACACCAUGAAAGAGUGAAUUAAACGUGGCUUGGCAACCUUCUACUUGAGUAAACUCGUACUGGCAUGGCAAUGAUUUUACCAUUUUUAGUGUCAUUUUGAAAUUGAAAUGAUGCGUCUUACUAGGAAUGCUUGGUCAUGUAGAUUAGUUUACAAAGAAAAAAGUCAAUUCUAAAAAAAGAUUGAGACUUGUAGGCAAAGGGAAGUUUUCAGAGGAUUUAAAGGAAAUAAAAAAUAUAUUUCUGAAAUUUAAAACUCCAGUUUUUGGAAUUUUGUGUAAAACAAACCAAAAUUUAACCAACAUUUAGCAAGCUUUAUUGCAUUUUAUUUUUUCUUUUACCUUCCUUUGCUAUGUCAUUUUACCUCUACAAUUUGUUAGGAUUUGAGUCAAAUGAUUUAUUUAUUUAUUUUUAAAAAGUCAAUAUUGAUAAAUUUGCGUUUUGGUAAAUUAUCUUUUUAAGUUUUAUUAGAAAAAUAUUGAUUUAAGGUUAAUCAGUAAGAUUCUAUAAACAUGGUUUUAUUUAAAAGAAAAUAUAUGAUUUUAUAUAAAAUAAAACAUCUGACAAAAAAAGUUAAUAAAUUAUAAAUUCUCAAAGCUUAUUAAUAAAUUUGAUCAAUAUUUUUUUUUUUGUUAAUUAGUUUUAGUCAUCCUUUCCUACAAUGUGGGCAAUUAUAUCGAAUCAUACAAAUAAUAUUUUGUCUUCCCUAUUUUCUUAUAUUUUGUUUUUUUAUGUUUGGAUCAAGUGUUGUUGUGAUUUAUUUUUCUUAUAUUUGGGUGUAGUGAUUUUUCCAACACGAAUCAAAGACAACUCCCCCAUUUCCCACGUUCUAUAUAUUCUGUGGCAUCUUUAAAAGUAAAGGACUUAUCCGCUCCACCAUGAAAGUGGAAAAUAUGCUCUUAGCCAUGUUAGAAGAAAAAAGAAAAAGGGUAAAUGGGUUCCACCCACCUUUUCUUCCGAUUCUUAUGACUCUUAUCCAAAUGCAUAAGAAUCAAUGACUCUUAUCCAAUCCAUCCAUGGAUGGAGGCCCUGGAAGUUCUAAUUGUUAUGAUGGAUGAAUGUAUUGUUUUUUUUUAAAAAAACUAAUUUUUAGGUUAGAAGAGGCAACAUAUCAUUUACAAAAAUUUCUUUUAUGCUUUAGUCGUUGGGUUUAUAAAGGCUGCCUUCUAAUGAGUGAUUGACCUCAGCUUGUACCAAUCCUCUUGUCACCUUGACUCACUACGACGAGAAAAUCAGAGGUCCAUGCAUAUUUGAUUUAAAAAAUAUUCUUAUUUUUAUUCACUUGCACUUCCUUAAUGGAUUGACCCACCUUUAGACAAAGCAUCUAUUUUCCAAUUUGAACGGAGCUUUUGACUGAGAAAAGAAGUUGAGUGGCCACACCGUCGAGUAUGACUUUAUGCAUUGUGUUGGAAUCAAAUUUGUGGCUUGAGAUAAUUGAUCCAGUCCUCACCUUUACUUAUACUUUGUGUCCACAUUUUCUAGCUUGGUCUAAAUUUAUUUCCUUCCAUGCAUUUUAGUCUCAAUCUAAUGAGGUUUUUCAAAAAUGACUAAUCAAGGUUAUCAUAAAUAGUAUUUGGAAAGAUUGUUAACAUAUUUGAAUGGAGCCAUUAGCCUAGGGGCAAGAUUCCAAAUAAGUUGUGUUGCCCUCAUUUAAAGACACGUUAAAUCUGACAAUUGUUCUUUUUCCUUUUGUUUUACCUUUUCAUUUACAUAUGUGCCUGUUAGGCUUUGUAGAGUCUAGGUUUGUUUGAUUCGGUUUGGCGACCCGAUCCGAAUAAUAUUGCAUGACUUUUUAAUGGGAGAUUUACUAAGGCUUGUUGGACCCGUUUAACCCAUUGUGGAAUCACCUUUUUUAAUUAGGGUUUUUUAAUGUGGUGUGGUUGUCGUGUUAUAUAUAAAGAGAAAAUAUUGUAGCUGAUGUAGUUGUAUUCUGUAUUCUUCCUUGAUAAUAGUGAUAUCCCUGCAACUCCAUGAAUGUAGGCAAAUUGCCGAACCACGUAAAUACUGUCUUGUGCGUGUAAUUAUUUUUCUUUGACUUGUGUUUUCUCUAUUUUUUGUUUUUCACAGGUUGGGAAUUCGGUUUAAUUCCCUACCGUACUUAUUAAUCCUCAUGCAAUCUCAACUCAUACAUCAAUGGCUAAGUGUUUGAAUUUAACCUAAACAACCUCAAUAGGAAUGAGUAAACAUGCUAACAUCCAAAUAUUUUGUUUCAUUUUUCCCUAAAACUUCCUCUUUUACUUUAGCUAUUGAAAUUUACAAAUCAAAGCCAUAUUGUGAUUCUAGGUAAAAGUUUAAGACCAUGUUUGGUAACUGUUUUUUAAAAUAAUAUUUUGUUUUGCAAAACACAAAAACAAGAAAAUACAUUUGACUAUUAGAAAAGAGCACACUUUUUUGCUCUUCAAAAUAAAAAACAAAAAUGCUUUUUAGAUAAUAUUUUUUUAAUUAUUUUUACUUAUUUUUUAGGAGUUAUUUUAAAAAAUAAUUAUGCAAAUACGAAGAAUGAUUAAAAAUAAGGCACUACUAAAAAAAAUUAUUUUUAAAAUAUAUUAAAAAAACAUAAAAUAAAAAAGUAUGUUAAAAAUAUUUCAAAUUCUAAAAUAAUGUUUUGUUCAACAAAACAUUAACUAACAAUUUUAGUUUUUUUUUUUUGAAUACACUUCUCAAGUAGAGUUUAAGAUUCUAAUAGCCUACAUCAAGGCUAUAAUCGCCUAUACACUUGUUGUGGUUUUUUUUUUGAAAAAAAGGAUUUUAUUUUUUACUGUUCUAAAUUUAAUUUAAAAUAAGAAAUUAAAUUUUGAAUAAUAAUAAACAAAUCAUUAAAAUGUUAUAUUUAUUACCCUUUUGAAAUUUGUUUUUAGAAAAUCAGAUUCAAGAGAUUCAAUUUUUGUGUUGAUUAAUUUUUCUUUUUAAAAAAAGUAAUGUAUUUGGCGUUAUUUUGCUAUUAAGAAAAGUUUCACAAGUCAAAUAUAGAAUCCAUAUUUGUUAAAAAAAUAAUUUAAAAUAUUCAACCUUACUGCAUGAUUGAAUAUCUGGUCAACAAUAUUUAAGAUGUAUUAUAUACAUGACUUUCAUUUGUAUUUUUACUAUUAGAUUAUGAUCAUUAGAUAUCAGGAAAAAAUGAUGGAGAAAAAAAAAACACCUUGACCUACGAAUAAAGAGGAAGACCAUCUUCUAACUUCAAGGAAUUAAUCUUAGAUGGCAUCUUCAAAAGUGGGGGCCGGGCUUGUCUUCCGCCAUGCAAGUCGUAAAAUAAUAUUCUUAGCCAUGUUAAAUGAAAAAGAUGAGGUAAAUGGGUUCCACUUCCUACUUUUGUGCUGAUUCUUAUACACCAUGACAAGGAAACUAGAGGUUGGUUAGAACCAUUGGCUGAAACGGAACCUUAAUUAAGAUGUUGUACUUCUCAUAUUUCGGCUUGGAAUUCUAGAAUUUUCUUCUUUUUCUUUUUCUUCUUCUUCUUCUUCUUAUUAUUAUUAUUAUCAUUUUAUAAAAGUGAUGGAGUAUAUUAAAUGCUAUCAUAAAUUGUAUUAACCAUGUUGACACUAAUUAUUGAAUAAAAGACCUACUAAACAAUUUUAUGUUACUUACAACAUCUUCUUUUACCAUUUGUGAACCAUUGGCUGAAACGGAACCUUAAUUAAGAUGUUGUACUUCUCAUAUUUCGGCUUGGAAUUCUAGAAUUUUCUUCUUUUUCUUCUUCUUCUUCUUCUUCUUCUUAUUAUUAUUAUUAUUAUCAUUUUAUAAAAGUGAUGGAGUAUAUUAAAUGCUAUCAUAAAUUGUAUUAACCAUGUUGACACUAAUUAUUGAAUAAAAGACCUACUAAACAAUUUUAUGUUACUUACAACAUCUUCUUUUACCAUUUGUGAAGAUGAAGGUGCAAAUAGAAAAAAAGAAUAAAAAAAAAAAAGUAAUUUUUUUUCCUCUUUCAAUGGUCUCUUGGACCCUAAUAAAAUGGUUAUAAAGGUGGAAUAAAAGACAUUUUUCAUUCAAGAAUUAGAAAUGCAUCACAGAAUGAUUAGAAGAAGAUUUUGUUUCUUAUAUAUUUUUGUGCAAUUUAAUUUGUAUUAUACUACAAUAGUUCAAGGGGAAACUGACAAAAAAGGAUAUAGAUUCUUAUUUCUUUUUUAACAAGGAUAAUGAUUUUUGCAUGCAAUCUUAUAAUACGAUUGAUCCAUAUAAAUAUUAAUAGUAAGGUGCAAUUUCAAUGCAUUAAUCUCAAGUUCAAGCGUUUCCAUGUUGGAAUUUUCAUCCACGAGGAUAAGUUGGAAUCACAUUCUGGUCCACAAAAAAAAAAAAGGUAAAAACACCUCUAUAUAUAUAUAUAUAUAUAUUUGAAUACUCUUGUGAUUAUAGUGUAAGAGUUGGAGUUGUUUCUUGAUUUUCCAUAAACCAACCUACGCAUCUUUUACAACUGAUAAUAUGUCUUCUAUGUUUUCUAUUCACUUCCAUGUUAACAAGAAGAAUGUAGUCAUACCUUACCGUAGGGAAAAGAUACAACAGAUUUUCAAACAACAUGAUGCUAAUGGCGAUGGUAGUCUAAGCUUAGAGGAGCUUGCGACAGCCUAUGGAGAGCUAGACUUAAUUAUCCCCUUGAGAGCUCAUCUUUCACUCUUCCAUGCAGAUGCUAAUGGGGACGAAAAAAUCAACUCUUAGGAGAUGGAAUCUCUUAUCAAUUAUGCUAUGUAUCUGGGAUAUCGCAUUAUGUAAAAUACAAUCUACUCAUGUUCUUGUAAUAAAUGGCAUGUCAUAAUGACAUGUCCCCAUUUAAUAUAUAAAUAAUGCAUGUAGUUUUCCUAUUUGGUAACUAGGAAGACAAAAAGGAUAAGUUCCUUUGUUGUGUUUCCUUAUACGUAACUUAAAACUUUAUAAUUAUCUAUCUUUUAUGUAACUUAGUUUUUUUUUUUUUUUUCAUUUCAUAUUUUUUUUCUCCCUCUCUUUUUAUUCUUCUCCACCCAUUAUAAGACAGUAUGAAUUUCACAAUGACCAUAAAUGAGAGACUUGUAUGCAAGUAUAGUGCCACCUAGGCACGAGGUAGUGCUUCUCCCAAUGAUAGUUUAGGAGAGAAAUGAAAUGCUUAAUGCCAUUUAGUAAAUUAUGUAGAUUAAUUUGCAAGAAGAAGAGUCAUGUCUAAAUUAAAGUAGAUCAGAAGUCUUCAAAGUAAAAGAAAGUUUUAGAAAAAAAUUAAAUAGAAAGUGUAAAUUGACAAUAAUAAAAAAAAAAAAACUCAACAAUUACUUCUAAAAUCCUCAUGGAGUUUGAUGUAUAGAACAAAUCAAAAUUUAUACUCCACAUGUAACUCAAUGAUUUUCAACAUUUAAAAAUAUCUCAAACGCUAAAAAAAAAAAUUAGUUGUUUGGAUUAUUAUGGAAAAUAUGUGUUUAAUUCUCAAAAUCUAAUUUCAUUUUCAUAUUUUUUUGAAUAAUUUUUAAAUUAAAUUGCAUAUUUGAAUUUAUCUUAUUCAACAAAACAUUCUCAUAUUUUAGAAUUAAAAAAGAUCAAGAAAUUUAAAAUAGACCUAGUACUUCAUUUUGAAAUGUGAAAACAUAAUUUUUCUUAAGAGUAGAGUUCAUUUUCUGAGUUAGAGGGAUUAUGUGUUUCACUCUUUGACAUUCAUGUCACCAAGGCAACAUGCAACCUCCCACUUCUCCUCAUCUCUUUUUAUUUGUCCUUUUUCUCUCAUUCUCAUAUAUUGACAUGAAAAAAGUAAAUAAACCCACAAAUAUAUGAAUUCACACAUUCAUGCUAACAUGAAAGCUAGAGAAAAUGUUUCUUUCAAAUUUUGAUUAAGAUUAUGCUCUCAUAUAUUUAAAAGAUUGCUUAAUGUAUAGUUCUAAUAAAUUAACAUCUUUUUAACAAAAAAGUGCCCAUAGAGUACUACUUAUUAUGAAUAAUAAUUGAAAUUAAUUUCAAAUUGAUUCAAUUGGACUUUUAGUUUCUAGUAUUUUCAUACAUGUUAAACUAAAAUCCAAAUUUUCAGGUAUUGGUGUUAUGUGUAUAUAAAUAUGUCAACAUUCAAAUUUUUUAUUUCAUUUUUUUUGUACAUUAUACUCAUCUUUAAAUUUAAAUUGAAGUCAUGUUGUGAUACAAAGUAAAGGUUUAGCAUUCUAAUAUCCUACAUCCCUAUAAGGCAAUAACAAAUUAUACAUUUUUCUACAGAUAUGGUUAGAAAUGAAAUAAUAUCAAUUUUUUUCUUAAAUGAAAUUUUAUUUUUGAGUAUUUUCAGUUUAAUUAAAAUUACAAAUUCAAUUUUGAACAGUAAUAAACAUUUUACAAUAAAUUGAAUAAUAAUUAAAAAAUUAUAUUUAUUGCUAUUUUGAAAUUUAUCUUUAAGAAAUCUAAUUCAACAGAUUCAAUUUUUUAUAUUGAAUUUUUUUUUUUAUAAAUAUUGUUGUAUUUCAAGUUAUUUUUUAUUAAGAAAAAUUUUACAAACCAAAUAGGGAGUUGAUAUUUUGUCUUUAACAUAAAAAUCUAUUUUUAAAAACUAUUUAAAAUAUUACAUUGUAUAUUUGUUGGAGUUUUUUUUUUCUAAAAUAUUUUAUCAUUAUUUUUUGUACUAAAUUGUGAUUAGAAAUCAUAAAUAGUGGUGACAUUUAUUAAAUAAAAAAAAAUUAUUGGCAUCAUAUGUUGGUGAUCCAUGUAAUAUGAAAUGUAUAAUGAAUUCAUCGAAGAAAAUAGUACUACUCUAUCUUCUUCUUUUACAUUUAGGAAAAAAGAAGCCUUUAGGAAUUAAUCAUUGAUUUCAUCUUCAAAAGUGGGGAACUUGUCAUGCACCAUGAAAGUUGAAAAAUAAUGCUCUUAGCUUUGUUAAAUGAAAAAAGAUAAGGUAAAUGGUUCACUUCCAUCAUCCUACUUUCACUUUGAUUCUUAUCUACUUGAACACAAAUGAAUGAAUGAGUUUUUGUUCAAUUUAAUCCUUUCUUGGUUUGAAUGAUUUUUUUUUUGUACAAAAUAUUAAUAAUUCCAGGGAUUUUUAAUUUUUGUGAUUAUGGUGUUGGGUAUAACUUUUAAUAAUGGAUCAUAUCCUAUUUCAAAACCAACUCAUAGUUUCAUGAUGAAUUCAAAUUUAUAUCAAUAUUUUUGGCAUAUUUAUUGGACAACUUUUUUUCAUGAUAUAGACAAAUUCAGAAACAUAUUUGUCUGUUAUGACAAGAAAACUAGUGGUUGAUUUGAUCUAUUGGUUAAAAAGGAACCUCAAGAAGAUCUAUAAGUGAUGUGGGGCUUGAAAUUAUGGACUCCUCAUUUAAAAAAAAAAAAAAUAGUGAUGGAAUAUAUUAAAUGGUAUCAUUAACAGUAUUCAUCUUAUUGACACUGAUUAUAGAAUAAAUGACCCACUAAACAAUUAUAUGUUGCUUACAACAUCUUUUACCAUUUGCAUAGAUAAAGGUGCUAAUUAUAGAAAAAAAAGAGAGUAAAUUUUAUCUUCUAUCAAUGACCCCUUGCACCAUAACAAGAUAGUGAUAAAAGUGGAAAGAGAGACAUUUUUAGUAUAAGAAUUAGAAGUACUUCACAGAAUGAUUAGAAAAGGUUUUGCUUCAACUUAAUUUAUAAUAUCCUAUAAUAAUUUAAGGGAAAAAUGGCAUAAAAGGACAUGGAUUCUUUUUUUUUUUUUUCCUUAAUGAGGAUAAUGACUUUUGUAUGUAAUCUUAUAAUAGGAUCCAUAGAAACAUGAAUAGUAAGGUGCAAUCAAUGUGUUAAUCUCAAGUCCAAACCAUUCCAAAUUAGAAUUUCCAUGAGAAUAAGUUAGAAUCACAUUUUGGUCCACAAGCACACAAGCACAGAUAAAGACACCUCUAUAUAUGUGUUUGAAUACUCCUAUGAUUUUAGUGUAAGAGUUGGAGUUGUUUCUUAAUUUUUCGUAAACCAAUCUACACAUCUCUUACACCUAACAACAUGAUUUUUUCGUUUCCCCUUCACUUCCAUAUUUAUAAUAGUGUAAUUGUACCUAUCCCUAAAAAACAAUUAAAACAAACUUUCAAACAACAUGAUGCUAAUGGCAAUAGUAGUCUAAUCUUAGAGGAGCUUAUGUCAACCUUUGUAAAGCUAGACUCAUUUAUCUCCACUUGGAGAGCUCACCUUUCACUCAUCCAUGCA
RNAcentral lists this long non-coding RNA (11083 nucleotides) under Vitis vinifera (wine grape). RNAcentral describes it as "long non-coding RNA (VVIN_LNC006024)". Lineage: Eukaryota; Viridiplantae; Streptophyta; Magnoliopsida; Vitales; Vitaceae. The record is from RNAcentral.